RNAcentral lists this small nuclear RNA (107 nucleotides) under Sorex araneus (European shrew). Lineage: Eukaryota; Metazoa; Chordata; Mammalia; Eulipotyphla; Soricidae. The record is from RNAcentral.
GUGCUUGCUUUGUCAGCACAUAUACUAAAAUUGGAACAAUACAGAGAAAAUUAGCAUGGCCCCUGUGCAUAGAUGAUAUGCAAAUUUGUGAAGCGUUCCAUAUCUUU